This 321-nucleotide transfer-messenger RNA is filed under the name bovine gut metagenome. RNAcentral describes it as "Alphaproteobacteria transfer-messenger RNA". It matches the Rfam family "Alphaproteobacteria transfer-messenger RNA". Rfam says of the family: Bacterial tmRNA, also known as 10Sa RNA or SsrA, is named for its dual tRNA and mRNA-like properties. Its role is to liberate the mRNA from a stalled ribosome. The record is from RNAcentral.
AUUUUUCCUCAAGAUAGUCUAUAUUAUUAGCUGUCAAGCAAUUGACUGUGACACCAGAGACCUUAUGAAAUAGGUAUGUUGGACCCGGGGGCAGUACCCGGCGCCUCCACCAUUCACGGGGGUGAAAAAGGUUUGACAGCGUAUAAUAAAGAUAAGUGUUGUGUUCGGUGAGAUACCACCGUUAUCGGUUCAAAAUAAAUGAAUGCAAAUGAUAAUUUUGCACCAGUUGCUGUAGCUGCUUAGUUAAAGCAACAAAUUUAAAUUCUUUACGCUUUGGUUAGCAUAAAGUGGGGAAUGAGCCACCUAGCAACAGAACGGCUC